UGGCAGUAUUAUCUUGAAAUACCAUAUAAAAAAACACAAAGUCUUUCUUCCCCAUAAAAAGUUACAAUCUGCAAUUCCGGAACGAUUCAAAGAAUCGUUUUUCGAAAGUUUUUUUUGCAUUCAAAGGUAAAACGCAAGGCGUUUAAUGGCCACUUUCUGACAGAUGUUCAAAAAUUCCCUUUUGAAAAUACGCUAAAUGUUAUGUACUGCAAAUAAUAUAGAUUUCGCC
This is a non-coding RNA of Paramuricea clavata, 229 nucleotides long. The record is from the annotation of a GenBank genome assembly. Lineage: Eukaryota; Metazoa; Cnidaria; Anthozoa; Malacalcyonacea; Plexauridae.